UAGUAUGGGGAUCUGCCCGAUAGAGGGGGAUAACUACUGGAAACGGUGGCUAAUACCGCAUAAUGUCUACGGACCAAAGCAGGGGCUCUUCGGACCUUGCACUAUCGGAUGAGCCCAUAUGGGAUUAGCUAGUAGGUGGGGUAAAGGCUCACCUAGGCGACGAUCUCUAGCUGGUCUGAGAGGAUGAUCAGCCACACUGGGACUGAGACACGGCCCAG
Molecule: ribosomal RNA, 218 nt
Filed under: uncultured bacterium
Lineage: Bacteria
Description: partial 16S ribosomal RNA
Rfam family: Bacterial small subunit ribosomal RNA
Source: RNAcentral